UAAGGUAAGUAUUUGCACUGACUGGGAC
RNAcentral lists this small RNA (28 nucleotides) under Bombyx mori (domestic silkworm). RNAcentral's name for it is "ovarian small RNA-19323". Lineage: Eukaryota; Metazoa; Arthropoda; Insecta; Lepidoptera; Bombycidae. The record is from RNAcentral.